RNAcentral lists this ribosomal RNA (393 nucleotides) under uncultured bacterium. RNAcentral's name for it is "partial 16S ribosomal RNA". It matches the Rfam family "Bacterial small subunit ribosomal RNA", at positions 523 to 918 of the family's 1533-position model. The record is from RNAcentral.
AUACGGAAGGUCCGGGCGUCAUCCGGAUUUAUUGGGUUUAAAGGGAGCGCAGGCGGAGAUGCAAGCGUGACGUCAAAUUUCGGGGCUCAACCCCGUCUCGCGUCGCGAACUGCGUCCCUUGGUUGCGGGAAGGGGAGGCGGAACUCGUGGUGUAGCGGUGAAAUGCAUAGAUAUCACGAAGAACUCCGAUCGCGAAGGCAGCCUUCCGGCCCGUCAACGACGCUCAUGCUCGAAGGUGCGGGUAUCAAACAGGAUUAGAUACCCUGGUAGUCCGCACAGUAAACGAUGGACACCCGCGGUUUGGCCUGUAUGGCUGAGCCGCCAAGCGAAAGCGUUAAGUGUCCCACCUGGGGAGUACGCCGGCAACGGUGAAACUCAAAGGAAUUGGCGGGG